This 260-nucleotide ribosomal RNA is filed under the name uncultured bacterium. Its description in RNAcentral is "partial 16S ribosomal RNA". It matches the Rfam family "Bacterial small subunit ribosomal RNA", at positions 94 to 354 of the family's 1533-position model. The record is from RNAcentral.
AGCGGCGGACGGGUGAGUAACGCGUGGGGAACCUGCCCUAUACAGGGGGAUAACAGUUAGAAAUGACUGCUAAUACCGCAUAAGCGCACGGAGCCGCAUGGCGCUGAGUGAAAAACGAUAGUGGUAUAGGAGGGACCCGCGUCUGAUUAGGUAGUUGGUGAGGUAACGGCCCACCAAGCCGACGAUCAGUAGCCGACCUGAGAGGGUGACCGGCCACAUUGGGACUGAGACACGGCCCAAACUCCUACGGAAGGCAGCAG